UACGUAGGGUGCGAGCGUUAUUCGGAAUUACUGGGCGUAAAGCGCACGUAGGCCGCUUUGUAAGUCAGGGGUGAAAUCCCACGGCUCAACCGUGGAACUGCCCUUGAAACUGCAGAGCUUGAAUCCUGGAGAGGGUGGCGGAAUUCCUGGUGUAGGAGUGAAAUCCGUAGAUAUCAGGAGGAACACCGGUGGCGAAGGCGGCCACCUGGACAGGCAUUGACGCUGAGGUGCGAAAGCAUGGGGAGCAAACAGG
This 253-nucleotide ribosomal RNA is filed under the name uncultured bacterium. Its description in RNAcentral is "partial 16S ribosomal RNA". It matches the Rfam family "Bacterial small subunit ribosomal RNA", at positions 524 to 776 of the family's 1533-position model. The record is from RNAcentral.